Molecule: ribosomal RNA, 429 nt
Filed under: Chloroflexota bacterium
Lineage: Bacteria; Bacillati; Chloroflexota
Description: Chloroflexi bacterium partial 16S ribosomal RNA
Rfam family: Bacterial small subunit ribosomal RNA
Source: RNAcentral
UGGGGAAUAUUGCACAAUGGGCGCAAGCCUGAUGCAGCCAUGCCGCGUGUAUGAAGAAGGCCUUCGGGUUGUAAAGUACUUUCAGCGGGGAGGAAGGGAGUAAAGUUAAUACCUUUGCUCAUUGACGUUACCCGCAGAAGAAGCACCGGCUAACUCUGUGCCAGCAGCCGCGGUAAUACGGAGGGUGCAAGCGUUAAUCGGAAUUACUGGGCGUAAAGCGCACGCAGGCGGUUUGUUAAGUCAGAUGUGAAAUCCCCGGGCUCAACCUGGGAACUGCAUCUGAUACUGGCAAGCUUGAGUCUCGUAGAGAGGGGUAGAAUUCCAGGUGUAGCAGUGAAAUGCGUAGAGAUCUGGAGGAAUACCGGUGGCGAAGGCGGCCCCCUAGACGAAGACUGACGCUCAGGUGCGAAAGCGUGGGGAGCAAACAGG